AUUGAACGCUGGCGGCAUGCCUUACACAUGCAAGUCGAACGGUAACAGGUCUUCGGAUGCUGACGAGUGGCGAACGGGCGAGUAAUACAUCGGAACGUGCCUAGUCGUGGGGGAUAACUACUCGAAAGAGUGGCUAAUACCGCAUGAGAUCUACGGAUGAAAGCAGGGGAUCGCAAGACCUUGUGCUACUAGAGCGGCCGAUGGCAGAUUAGGUAGUUGGUGGGAUAAAAGCUUACCAAGCCGACGAUCUGUAGCUGGUCUGAGAGGACGAUCAGCCACACUGGGACUGAGACACGGCCCAGACUCCUACGGGAGGCAGCAGUGGGGAAUUUUGGACAAUGGGGGCAAGCCUGAUCCAGCAAUGCCGCGUGCAGGAUGAAGGCCUUCGGGUUGUAAACUGCUUUUGUACGGAACGAAAAGCCCCGGGUUAAUACCCUGGGGUCAUGACGGUACCGUAAGAAUAAGCACCGGCUAACUACGUGCCAGCCGCCGCCGUAA
Molecule: ribosomal RNA, 498 nt
Filed under: uncultured bacterium
Lineage: Bacteria
Description: partial 16S ribosomal RNA
Rfam family: Bacterial small subunit ribosomal RNA
Source: RNAcentral